GACGAACGCUGGCGGCGUGCCUAAUACAUGCAAGUCGAACGCAGUGGGGACGGGUGAGUAACACGUGGGUAACCUCCCAUCAGAGGGGAUAACACUUGGAAACAGGUGCUAAACCGAUACUGAUGGAUGGACCAGCGGUGCAUUAGCUAGUUGGUGAGGUAACGGCUCACCAAGGCCACGAUGCAUAGCCGACCUGAGAGGAUGAUUGGCCAAACUGGAACUGAGACACGGCCCAGACUCCGACGGGAGGCAGCAGUGGGGAAUAUUCGGCAAUGGGCGAAAGUCUGACCGAGCAACGCCGCGUGAGUGAAGAAGGUUUUCGGAUGGUAAAACACUGUUGGUAGGGAAGCGGUAUCUAAAGAGGAAGCCCCGGCUAACUACGUGCCAGCAGCCGCGGUAAUAC
Molecule: ribosomal RNA, 403 nt
Filed under: uncultured bacterium
Lineage: Bacteria
Description: partial 16S ribosomal RNA
Rfam family: Bacterial small subunit ribosomal RNA
Source: RNAcentral